GGGGCCGACCGGAUUAGACAGCGAGAUCAAUUGGUUGGUAAGCAUGCCGAGCUAUGAAAUUAAUGCUCGUUAAUAUCUAUUUCAACCUUUUUAAAUGGCGAAAAUAACUACGCUUUAGCUGCUUAAUAAUUCGAAGUAUAGUAGAAUCAAGCCCAGUCCCGCUAGGCGGGAGAGCUAAAUGUCUCUUAAUAGCCCUUGUUGAUGGCGAUUAGAUUAGAGGCACCAUUAAAGUCAACAUAGAAUACAAAUGGCUUUGGUUUGUAUUUAAAUCUUAAAAAGCUAAGGAAUCAAUAGGCGGUUUUCGGUCAGUUGUUUCUCGAAAAUCAAUCGAAAACUAAGCAUGUAGAAAGCUAAUUAAUGGCUUGUUUGGACGAGGGUUCGAAUCCCUCCGGCUCCACU
This 399-nucleotide transfer-messenger RNA is filed under the name marine eukaryotic metagenome. It matches the Rfam family "transfer-messenger RNA". Rfam says of the family: Bacterial tmRNA, also known as 10Sa RNA or SsrA, is named for its dual tRNA and mRNA-like properties. Its role is to liberate the mRNA from a stalled ribosome. To accomplish this part of the tmRNA is used as a reading frame that ends in a translation stop signal. The record is from RNAcentral.